This 301-nucleotide ribosomal RNA is filed under the name uncultured bacterium. RNAcentral describes it as "partial 16S ribosomal RNA". It matches the Rfam family "Bacterial small subunit ribosomal RNA", at positions 509 to 807 of the family's 1533-position model. The record is from RNAcentral.
CAGUCGCCACGGUAAUACGAAGGGGGCUAGCGUUGUUCGGAUUUACUGGGCGUAAAGGGCGCGUAGGCGGGCGAAUAAGUCAGGGGUGAAAUCCCAAGGCUCAAUCUUGGAACUGCCUUUGAUACUGUUUGUCUUGAGUUCGAGAGAGGUAAGUGGAACUGCGAGUGUAGAGGUGAAAUUCGUAGAUAUUCGCAAGAACACCAGUGGCGAAGGCGGCUUACUGGCUCGAAACUGACGCUGAGGCGCGAAAGCGUGGGGAGCAAACAGGAUUAGAUACCCCAGUAGUCCCUGUCUCUUAUAC